This 1546-nucleotide ribosomal RNA is filed under the name Klebsiella pneumoniae. Its description in RNAcentral is "bacterial SSU rRNA". It matches the Rfam family "Bacterial small subunit ribosomal RNA". The record is from RNAcentral. Lineage: Bacteria; Pseudomonadati; Pseudomonadota; Gammaproteobacteria; Enterobacterales; Enterobacteriaceae.
AAAUUGAAGAGUUUGAUCAUGGCUCAGAUUGAACGCUGGCGGCAGGCCUAACACAUGCAAGUCGAGCGGUAGCACAGAGAGCUUGCUCUCGGGUGACGAGCGGCGGACGGGUGAGUAAUGUCUGGGAAACUGCCUGAUGGAGGGGGAUAACUACUGGAAACGGUAGCUAAUACCGCAUAACGUCGCAAGACCAAAGUGGGGGACCUUCGGGCCUCAUGCCAUCAGAUGUGCCCAGAUGGGAUUAGCUAGUAGGUGGGGUAAUGGCUCACCUAGGCGACGAUCCCUAGCUGGUCUGAGAGGAUGACCAGCCACACUGGAACUGAGACACGGUCCAGACUCCUACGGGAGGCAGCAGUGGGGAAUAUUGCACAAUGGGCGCAAGCCUGAUGCAGCCAUGCCGCGUGUGUGAAGAAGGCCUUCGGGUUGUAAAGCACUUUCAGCGGGGAGGAAGGCGUUAAGGUUAAUAACCUUGGCGAUUGACGUUACCCGCAGAAGAAGCACCGGCUAACUCCGUGCCAGCAGCCGCGGUAAUACGGAGGGUGCAAGCGUUAAUCGGAAUUACUGGGCGUAAAGCGCACGCAGGCGGUCUGUCAAGUCGGAUGUGAAAUCCCGGGCUCAACCGGGAACUGCAUUCGAAACUGGCAGGCUAGAGUCUUGUAGAGGGGGGUAGAAUUCCAGGUGUAGCGGUGAAAUGCGUAGAGAUCUGGAGGAAUACCGGUGGCGAAGGCGGCCCCCUGGACAAAGACUGACGCUCAGGUGCGAAAGCGUGGGGAGCAAACAGGAUUAGAUACCCUGGUAGUCCACGCCGUAAACGAUGUCGAUUUGGAGGUUGUGCCCUUGAGGCGUGGCUUCCGGAGCUAACGCGUUAAAUCGACCGCCUGGGGAGUACGGCCGCAAGGUUAAAACUCAAAUGAAUUGACGGGGGCCCGCACAAGCGGUGGAGCAUGUGGUUUAAUUCGAUGCAACGCGAAGAACCUUACCUGGUCUUGACAUCCACAGAACUUUCCAGAGAUGGAUUGGUGCCUUCGGGAACUGUGAGACAGGUGCUGCAUGGCUGUCGUCAGCUCGUGUUGUGAAAUGUUGGGUUAAGUCCCGCAACGAGCGCAACCCUUAUCCUUUGUUGCCAGCGGUUAGGCCGGGAACUCAAAGGAGACUGCCAGUGAUAAACUGGAGGAAGGUGGGGAUGACGUCAAGUCAUCAUGGCCCUUACGACCGGGCUACACACGUGCUACAAUGGCAUAUACAAAGAGAAGCGACCUCGCGAGAGCAAGCGGACCUCAUAAAGUAUGUCGUAGUCCGGAUUGAGUCUGCAACUCGACUCCAUGAAGUCGGAAUCGCUAGUAAUCGUAGAUCAGAAUGCUACGGUGAAUACGUUCCCGGGCCUUGUACACACCGCCCGUCACACCAUGGGAGUGGGUUGCAAAAGAAGUAGGUAGCUUAACCUUCGGGAGGGCGCUUACCACUUUGUGAUUCAUGACUGGGGUGAAGUCGUAACAAGGUAACCGUAGGGGAACCUGCGGUUGGAUCACCUCCUUACCUUAAAGAA